RNAcentral lists this ribosomal RNA (605 nucleotides) under Calochromus sp. UPOL MT0076. Its description in RNAcentral is "partial 16S ribosomal RNA". The stretch from base 379 to 537 matches the Rfam family "Bacterial large subunit ribosomal RNA", at positions 2473 to 2632 of the family's 2925-position model. Lineage: Eukaryota; Metazoa; Arthropoda; Insecta; Coleoptera; Lycidae. The record is from RNAcentral.
CACGUCCUUUUGAUUUAAAUUUAAGGUUUAAUCUGCUCAAUGAAUUAUUAAAUUGCCGCAGUAUUUUAACUGUGCGAAGGUAGCAUAAUAAUUAGUUUUUUAAUUGAGAACUGGAAUGAAUGAUUGGACGAGAAAAUUACUGUCUCUUAUGGAUUGAUUUUUUAAUUUUAUUUUUAAGUUAAAAAGCUUAAAUAUAAAUAAAAGACGAGAAGACCCUAUAGAGUUUAAUAUUUAUUUUUUAUAAAUAUUUGGAAAAUAAUUUAAUAGUUAAAUAUUUAGUUGGGGUGACUUAAAGAUUAAUAUAAUUCUUUAAUUAUUAAAUUGUUGAUAAAUAAAAAUUAAAUCUAUUUUUUUAAAUUUAAAAUUAAUUACCUUAGGGAUAACAGCGUAAUUUUUUUUUAAAGUUCUUAUUAAAAGAAAAGUUUGCGACCUCGAUGUUGGAUUAAAAUUAAUUUUAGGUGCAGUAGCUUAAAAAUUGGGUCUGUUCGACCUUUAAAAUUUUACAUGAUCUGAGUUUAAACCGGUGUAAGCCAGGUUGGAUUCUAUCUUUAAUUAAUUUAUAUAUUUUAGUACGAAAGGGCCGAAUAUAUAUUAUAAUAUAAUUG